This 480-nucleotide ribosomal RNA is filed under the name uncultured bacterium. Its description in RNAcentral is "bacterial SSU rRNA". It matches the Rfam family "Bacterial small subunit ribosomal RNA", at positions 25 to 518 of the family's 1533-position model. The record is from RNAcentral.
CAGGACGAACGCUGGCGGCGUGCCUAACACAUGCAAGUCGAACGGACUGAUUCCCUCGGGGAUGAAAGUAGUGGCGGACGGGUGAGUAACGCGUGAGCAACCUGCCUUUCAGAGGGGAAUAACGUUUGGAAACAGACGCUAAUACCGCAUAACGCAUAGGUGUCGCAUGGCAUUUAUGCCAAAGGAGCAAUCCGCUGAAAGAUGGGCUCGCGUCCGAUUAGAUAGUUGGUGGGGUAACGGCCUACCCAAGUCGACGAUCGGUAGCCGGACUGAGAGGUUGAACGGCCACAUUGGGACUGAGACACGGCCCAGACUCCUACGGGAGGCAGCAGUGGGGGAUAUUGCACAAUGGGCGGAAGCCUGAUGCAGCAACGCCGCGUGAGGGAAGACGGUUUUCGGAUUGUAAACCUCUGUCUUUGGUGACGAAGAAAUGACGGUAGCCGAGGAGGAAGCCACGGCUAACUACGUGCCAGCCGCCGC